Molecule: non-coding RNA, 1166 nt
Organism: Cricetulus griseus (Chinese hamster)
Lineage: Eukaryota; Metazoa; Chordata; Mammalia; Rodentia; Cricetidae
Source: RefSeq, a predicted model, not a curated record
GUCUUAUGAUUCACAGUCCUGGGUUCACUCUGUGGUCAAACCAGAAAAAAAUUAGAAGGAAGCCAGGUAUCUGGAAUGAAUUAACUCCCCCUCCCUUCCUCCCGCUUGCCCUCCUUCCCUCUUCUCCUUUCCCUUUCUCUUCCUUUUUCUCUCUCUCCCUCUCUCCUCUUUCUCUUUCUAAUUAUGAGGAGUACUGGAAAUUCAAACAGCUGGACCUUACAAUCAAACCUCUGUAUCUGAAUUUUCCACACCAAUGGUUCCAACGAUAAGGAACAAAAAUCUUUGGGAAGAGCAUCAGGACUGAAGAUGGAAGAAUCUCUACUUGUCCUCAUCCCCGAGGCAUGGCAUUCCCAGGUUCCAGCUGUGACCUCCUCCCUGCAGAUGCAGGCAGAAGAUGGUGUUAUGACAGAGGCGUUUUGCAGUGAUAAUGGGACCAGGUUCAUCUGGAGUUAGUGCUGCCCCUUCCUAAAGGGUUUCUGUUGCUGCGAACAGACAUCAUGACCACAGAAGCACUUAGAAAGGAAACGUUUCAUUUGGGUGGCUUACAGCUCAGAGGUUCAGUCCAUUAUCAUCAUGGUGGGACAUGGCAGCAUGCAGGCAUCAUGGAGGCAGACACGGUGCUGGAGAAGGAACUGAGAGUCCUACAUCUUGAUCCACAGAUGCUGUGUUUACAGGCAUGUGCAGCCAUGAUCAGCUUUUUACGUGGGUGUUGGGGAGUCAAACUGGAGUCCUCAUGUUUGUAGAGCAAUUGGUUGAGCCAGAAGCACUGGGAACAAUGUGAAUUUGCAACCGAGAUCUAAAGGAAGCACGAACAGCAUUGUGGGAUUGAUUCCUGAGCCUGUUGGAUCUGUGCUGAUGCCAAGUAGCUAGAACUGUAUGAACUAUAAUUAUUUGCUGAAAACCGUGUACAAGUUUCCAGCUUUUUAAAGAUUUCAGUUCAGUAGUGGUAUGGGUUUUACCCCUUUACUUAGCCUUCAUUCUUUUGCUUUUCAAAGUUUUACUGAGGCAUUUUUGACAAGCAAUAAACUGAGCAUACUCAAAGUCUGCAGUCAGCCCUCCGUGUCUGUAGGCUUUGUAAAUUCAAACCACUAUGAAUUGGAAAUAUUUUUUAAUUGCGCCUAUGCUGAAUUCGUACCGACCCUGUCCCCUUGUGAUCGUUCCCUAAA